GGCGCACGGGUGCGUAACACGUGGGUAAUCUGCCUCAAAGUUUAGGAUAACCUUCCGAAAGGUUGGCUAAUACUACUGAAGCUCACAAGGUCUUCGGACCAAGGGAGAAAAGUUGGCCUCUGUUUACAUGCUAACGCUUUGAGAUGAGCCCGCGGCCCAUCAGCUAGUUGGUGAGGUAAUGGCUCACCAAGGCUACGACGGGUAGCUGGUCUGAGAGGACGAUCAGCCACACUGGAACUGAGACACGGUCCAGACUCCUACGGGAGGCAGCAGUGGGGAAUUUUGCACAAUGGGCGCAAGCCUGAUGCAGCAACGCCGCGUGUGUGAUGAAGGUCUUCGGAUCGUAAAGCACUUUCGACCGGGACGAACAAGCUACUCCUAACACGAGUGGCCCUGACGGUACCGGGAGAAGAAGCACCGGCUAACUCUGUGCCAGCCGCCGCGG
This 445-nucleotide ribosomal RNA is filed under the name uncultured bacterium. Its description in RNAcentral is "bacterial SSU rRNA". It matches the Rfam family "Bacterial small subunit ribosomal RNA", at positions 97 to 520 of the family's 1533-position model. The record is from RNAcentral.